Molecule: ribosomal RNA, 447 nt
Filed under: uncultured bacterium
Lineage: Bacteria
Description: bacterial SSU rRNA
Rfam family: Bacterial small subunit ribosomal RNA
Source: RNAcentral
UGGGGAAUCUUGGACAAUGGGCGCAAGCCUGAUCCAGCCAUGCCGCGUGAGUGACGAAGGCCUUAGGGUUGUAAAACUCUUUCGUCGGGGACGAUAAUGACGGUACCCGAAGAAGAAGCUCCGGCUAACUUCGUGCCAGCAGCCGCGGUAAUACGAAGGGAGCUAGCGUUGUUCGGAAUCACUGGGCGUAAAGCGCACGUAGGCGGAUAGUUAAGUCAGGGGUGAAAUCCUGGGGCUCAACCCCAGAACUGCCUUUGAUACUGGCUGUCUCGAGGUCGAGAGAGGUUGGUGGAAUUCCUAGUGUAGAGGUGAAAUUCGUAGAUAUUAGGAAGAACACCAGUGGCGAAGGCGGCCAACUGGCUCGAUACUGACGCUGAGGUGCGAAAGCGUGGGGAGCAAACAGGAUUAGAUACCCCCGUAGUCCCUGAGCGGGCUGGCAAGGCGCAU